CCUACGGGAGGCAGCAGGCGCGCAAAUUACCCAAUCCUGACACGGGGAGGUAGUGACAAUAAAUAACAAUACCGGGCUCUUCGAGUCUGGUAAUUGGAAUGAGUACAAUCUAAAUCCCCUAACGAGGAUCAAUUGGAGGGCAAGUCUGGUGCCAGCAGCCGCGGUAAU
This 168-nucleotide ribosomal RNA is filed under the name uncultured bacterium. RNAcentral describes it as "partial 16S ribosomal RNA". It matches the Rfam family "Eukaryotic small subunit ribosomal RNA", at positions 415 to 583 of the family's 1831-position model. The record is from RNAcentral.